Molecule: ribosomal RNA, 468 nt
Filed under: uncultured bacterium
Lineage: Bacteria
Description: partial 16S ribosomal RNA
Rfam family: Bacterial small subunit ribosomal RNA
Source: RNAcentral
GACGAACGCUGGCGGCGUGCUUAACACAUGCAAGUCGAACGGAAAGGCCCUGCUUUUGUGGGGUGCUCGAGUGGCGAACGGGUGAGUAACACGUGAUUAACCUGCCCUUGACUUUGGGAUAACUUCAGGAAACUGGGGCUAAUACCGGAUAGGAGCUCCUGCUGCAUGGUGUGGGUUGGAAAGUUUCGGCGGUUGGGGAUGGACUCGCGGCUUAUCAGCUUGUUGGUGGGGUAGUGGCUUACCAAGGCUUUGACGGGUAGCCGGACUGUAAGGGUGACCGGCCAAAUAGGGACUGAGGUAGGCGCCAGACUCAUAAGGGAGGCAGCAGUCGGCAGUAAGAAACAAAGGACGGAAGUCAGGUGAAUAGACACGCAGAGCGGUAUGAUGAUCAUAAGGUGGUAAACCGCUGUCGCCUGUCAAGGAGAGUGAGUGAAAGUAAAGGGUAAAGAAGCCCCGGCUAACUACGUG